Molecule: long non-coding RNA, 293 nt
Filed under: Malus domestica (apple)
Lineage: Eukaryota; Viridiplantae; Streptophyta; Magnoliopsida; Rosales; Rosaceae
Description: long non-coding RNA (MDOM_LNC015136)
Source: RNAcentral
UAAAGGCCUACCGAAAACUGAGGAGAGUUGAUUUUGUUUCAAUGGUUUUGUUUCUGGGUUCUAUCUCAGGAGGGAGGUUGUGCAUCAAUGCUUUGCAGUUUCCUUAGUUGUAUUUCAUUGAACGUGUUACUUGACCCAAAUGAAACACACUUGAUCCAAAUGAAACACCGACUACAAUAAUAAACGGGAUUCAUGCUGUGAAGUAUCUCCCCCUAUUUCUUUGGCAUAAAUGACACUGCAUUUGUAUUCCCUCUAUGGUUGAUUGUAUUUUUACAGUUAUUGUAUUCCCGGGG